CCAAUAGCGUAUAUUAAAGUUGUUGCAGUUAAAAAGCUCGUAGUUGAAUUUCGGGGUCAGUAGGUUGGUCGUGCCACCGGUAUGUACUGGUCUCACUGAUUCCUCCUUCCUGAUGAGCCGUAAUGCCAUUAAUUUGGUGUUGCGGGGAAUCUGGACUGUUACUUUGAAAAAAUUAGAGUGUUUAAAGCAGGCUAACGCUUGAAUACAUUAGCAUGGAAUAAUGAAAUAGGACGUUCGAUCUUAUUUUGUUGGUUUCUAGGAUUGACGUAAUGAUUAAUAGGGAUAGUUGGGGGCAUUAGUAUUCAAUUGUCAGAGGUGAAAUUCUUGGAUUUAUUGAAGACUAACUACUGCGAAAGCAUUUGCCAAGGAUGUUUUCAUUAAUCAAGAACGAAAGUUAGGGGAUCGAAGACGAUCAGAUACCGUCGUAGUCUUAACCAUAAACUAUGCCGACUAGGGAUCGGAUGAUGUUAAUUUUUUAAUGACUCAUUCGGCGCCUUACG
Molecule: ribosomal RNA, 500 nt
Filed under: uncultured Glomeromycotina
Lineage: Eukaryota; Fungi; Glomeromycota
Description: partial small subunit ribosomal RNA
Rfam family: Eukaryotic small subunit ribosomal RNA
Source: RNAcentral